RNAcentral lists this unclassified non-coding RNA (658 nucleotides) under Hevea brasiliensis (rubber tree). The record is from RNAcentral. Lineage: Eukaryota; Viridiplantae; Streptophyta; Magnoliopsida; Malpighiales; Euphorbiaceae.
AAAGAAUCAUUUAUAAAAAUAGAGUAGAGGAGAUAAAGAUAAAACCAAAGCAGGGAGGCUUAAAACCUGAGAAGAGCAAUUACCAAGAAGCCAAGGCAAGAAUUUGUUUAGUUGAUAAUAACACUCAAACAUAUGAAAUAUAGAUAAUUAAAAUAUAUCUUGCAGUGCACCAUCUAUAAUACCUUGAAAUUUAAUAUUAAUAAGUAAAAUUGUUUAGGAAAAGUAGGAGUGCCAUUUCUGAUAUCUAGUUUGAGAGUCUCACAAAAAAGUCAAUCAAAUCAGAUGAUGUGUACCUAUAUUCUUAUCACCAUAACUCCUCAGGAUAUAAAAUAUCAAUAAUCAUAAUCAUCAAAUAAAUGGGCAAAAUAUACUGAUCAUCUGGCGGUGCAAUUUUGGUCUCAAGAAUGAUCCAUGUUACAGGCUUACAGCCUUAAAAGGUGGACAAUUUGUCUUCAUCAAGGCAUCAAAUUGCAGAAGUUCAUAGGUUCCAAGGGUAGCCAACACAGGCCAAUUGGACUAACCAACUUUUAGCAUAGAUAACCCAUGUGUUUCGCUCUCAUAUGGAGCUCUUCCCUCAAGGAUAUCAAAUAAGGCACAGUAAUACAAAUUACUUGUGUUCUCUGUACACAAAUCUUACCUUAGUGAACUUGACAUCAGG